AACCUGCCCAAUGAGGAUUUAAAUGGCCGCAGUAUUUUGACUGUGCAAAGGUAGCAUAAUUAUUAGUUUUUUAAUUGAAAGCUUGUAUGAAGGGUUGGACGAGAUAAAAUCUGUCUUUAUUUAAAUUAAAAUAGAAUUUAACUUUUAAGUCAAAAGGCUUAAAUUUAUAUAAAAGACGAGAAGACCCUAUAGAUCUUUAUUUAAUUAGUAUUUUAAUAAUUUAGGAUUAAUUUAAUUUAAAGUUUUAAUUGAAUUUUAUUGGGGUAAUAUAAAGAUUAAAAAAAUUCUUUUUAUUUAUAACAUUAAUUUAUGAAUAUAUGAUCCAGUAUUACUGAUUAUAAGAUUAAGUUACCUUAGGGAUAACAGCGUAAUUUUUUUGGAGAGCUCAUAUCGAUAAAAAAGUUUGCGACCUCGAUGUUGGAUUAAAAAUUAGCUUGGGUGUAGAAGCUCAAGAUUUUGGUCUGUUCGACCAUUAAAUUUUUACAUGAUCUGAGUUCAGACCGGCGUAAGCCAGGUCGGUUUCUAUCUUUAUUUAAUUAGAAUAUUUUAGUACGAAAGGACCAAAUAUUUAAUAUAAUUAUAUUUAAUUUUUGAAUAAUAUU
This 602-nucleotide ribosomal RNA is filed under the name Cylindera zaza. RNAcentral's name for it is "partial 16S ribosomal RNA". It matches the Rfam family "Bacterial large subunit ribosomal RNA", at positions 1856 to 2757 of the family's 2925-position model. Lineage: Eukaryota; Metazoa; Arthropoda; Insecta; Coleoptera; Carabidae. The record is from RNAcentral.